RNAcentral lists this small RNA (410 nucleotides) under Arabidopsis thaliana (thale cress). Its description in RNAcentral is "ATSL025630". The record is from RNAcentral. Lineage: Eukaryota; Viridiplantae; Streptophyta; Magnoliopsida; Brassicales; Brassicaceae.
ACCAAACAAAAGUCUAUUUAGACUAUAGUUUAUAGAUUUUUUUAAUAUAUAUAUUUAUCAAAGCGGAUAUCCGCAAAUAUUUAAAAAAAAAAUCCGGAUAUUCGAAAUUCCGGAUAUUUAGAAAUUUUCGAAUCAAAGCAAAUUAUAAAAUCAAGUAUUCGGUUAAAACGAAUCGAAUAACAAAUAUUAUAAUUUUUUCGGAUAUCCGCUUCGUGCCCAAACCUAGUUUUCACAAACCAAAACACAAAACCUGAAUAUCUUCCACCCCUAAAUCCUACAUCAGAAUAACAAUUACCUAUAAAAAAACACAACCAAUUCAAAAUCCAUUCCUCUUCUAUAAAAAGGUUACCAACUUACCAUUAAUUAAUUAGAUGAUAGAUGAAAAAUUAUGUUCACCAAAGUCCAACCUA